GACGAACGCUGGCGGCGUGCUUAAUACAUGCCAGUCGAACGGAAAGGCCCUGCUUUUGUGGGGUGCUCGAGUGGCGAACGGGGGAGUAACACGUGAGUAACCUGCCCUUGACUUUGGGAUAACUUCAGGAAACUGGGGCUAAUACCGGAUAGGAGCUCUUGCUGCAUGGUGGGGGUUGGAAAGGUUCGGCGGUUGGGGAUGGACUCGCGGCUUAUCAGCUUGUUGGUGGGGUAGUGGCUUACCAAGGCUUUGACGGGUAGCCGGCCUGAGAGGGUGACCGGCCACAUUGGGACUGCGGUAGGGCCCAGACUCCUACGGGAGGCAGCAGUGGGGAAUAUUGCGCAAUGGGGGGGAGCCUGAGGCGGCAGCGCCGCGUGCGGGAUAACGUCCUUCGGGUUAUGAACCGCUUUCGCCUGUGACGAAGCGUGAGUGACGGUAAUGGGUAAAGAAGCACCGGCUAACUACGUG
Molecule: ribosomal RNA, 468 nt
Filed under: uncultured bacterium
Lineage: Bacteria
Description: partial 16S ribosomal RNA
Rfam family: Bacterial small subunit ribosomal RNA
Source: RNAcentral